RNAcentral lists this ribosomal RNA (2472 nucleotides) under Triticum aestivum (bread wheat). Its description in RNAcentral is "partial small subunit ribosomal RNA". Lineage: Eukaryota; Viridiplantae; Streptophyta; Magnoliopsida; Poales; Poaceae. The record is from RNAcentral.
AUGGCGACGCGCUUCUCCGCCGCCGUGCUGCCUUUGCUCCUAGGCUUUCUGCUCCUGCAAGGAGCACCGUCGCGCGCCGCCGAUACAGACACCGUCGUCAUCGGCCGGCCGCUGUCAGGCCGACAGAGGCUGGUGUCCAAGCGCGGCAAGUUCGCGCUCGGCUUCUUCCAGCCAGCAGAAUCCUCGCAGAACUGGUACCUCGGCAUUUGGUACAACCAAAUCUCCAAGCACACCACGGUGUGGGUCGCCAACCGGGACGCGCCGGUCUCCGACCCAGCUUCCGCGCAGCUCUCUAUCUCCAGCGACGGCAACAUGGUCCUCCUCCACGGCGACCGUGCCAAGUCCCCGGCACUCUGGUCCACAGGCGUCGCGGGCAUCGCACCCAGCAGCUCCACGGUCGGCGUCCUGCUCGACACGGGCAACCUCGUCCUCGCGGACGCGUCCAACACCUCCGUCGUGCUCUGGCAGAGCUUCGACCACUUCGGCGACACGUGGCUGCCCGGCGGCAGGCUCGGCCGAAACAAGCGCACCGGCGAGGUCACGCGCCUCUUCGCGUGGAAGGGCUACGACGACCCGGCGCCGGGCGUGUUCGCGCUCGAGCUCGACCCGAACGGCACGAGCCAGUAUCUGCUCAACUGGAACGGCAGCAUGGAGUACUGGACCAGCGGCAACUGGACCGGCGACGGGUUCACCGGCGUGCCGGAGUUGAAGGCCUAUAGCAGCUCCCCGAUGUCCAUGUACAAAUUCGGCUACGUCGACGGCAAGGACGAGAGCUACUUCUUCUACGACGUCAAGGACGAGGCCGUCGUGACGCGGUUCCUGGUGGACGUGACGGGUCAGAUCAAGUUCCUGACGUGGGUGGAGUCUGCCGGCGCGUGGAUCCUCUUCUGGACGCAGCCCAAGGCGCAGUGCGACGUCUACGCGCUGUGCGGGGCCUUCGCCGCGUGCGUAGAGAAUGAGCUGCCGUCGUGCCGCUGCCUCCGCGGAUUCCGGGAGAGGCGCCCGCUGGCAUGGCUACAGGGCAACCAUGCUGAGGGCUGCGUCCGGGACACCGCGCUGCAGCAGUGCGCGCGCGGCGGCGGCGUCCAGGGCGCUACGCGCGAGGCGAAGAACGACGACGGUUUUUAUGCCAUGCCCAACUUGAGGCUCCCGAGCGACGCGCAGGGUGUGGUGGCCGCGGCGAGUGCUCACGACUGCGAGCUCGCGUGUCUUGGCGACUGCUUCUGCACCGCGUACUCUCACAACGGCAGCUGCUGGCUAUGGCACGGAGGCCUCAUCAACCUGCAAGACACGAGCAGCACUGCCACCGGAGGUAACAGUGGCACCAUCAUGGUCCGGCUGGCUGCGUCUGAGCUCACUAGCCCAGGGCGCACCAAGACAGUGAUCAUUGCGCUCGUCGCCGUCGCGGCGGCCGUGGCCGCGGUCACCGUUGCCGUUCUCGUGUCAGCCUUCGUUCUGAGGAGGAGAAGGGUGAAGGCGCAAAGAAGAGUCGUGGAAGGUUCCCUGAUGGCGUUGACGUACCGCGACAUGCAGUCCGUGACCAACAACUUCUCGGACAAGCUCGGCGGCGGCUCCUUCGGGUCGGUGUUCAAAGGGUCACUCCCCGACGCGACCGCGACGCUGGUCGCGGUGAAGAAGCUCGAGGGCGUGCGUCAGGGGGAGAAGCAGUUCCGCGCGGAGGUGAGCACCAUCGGCACCAUCCAGCACGUCAACCUCAUCCGGCUGCUCGGGUUCUGCUCCGAGGGGACAAGGAGGCUGCUCGUCUACGAGCACAUGCCCAACGGCUCCCUGGACAGGCACCUCUUCGGGUCCAGCUCCAGCCCCGGCCAUGGCGUCCUGAGCUGGGAGACGAGGUACCAGAUCGCUCUGGGCAUCGCGAGGGGACUGGACUACCUGCACGACAAGUGCAGGGACUGCAUCAUACACUGCGACAUCAAGCCGGAGAACAUCCUCCUGGACGACGCGUUCGCCGUCAAGGUGGCGGACUUCGGGCUGGCCAAGCUCAUGGGCCGGGACAUCAGCCGCGUGCUAACGACGAUGAGGGGCACGGUCGGGUACCUCGCGCCCGAGUGGAUAACCGGCACGGCCAUCACGGCCAAGGCCGACGUGUUCAGCUACGGCAUGCUGCUGUUCGAGAUCGUGUCCGGCAGGAGGAACGUGGAGCAGCGGCCGGACGGCACCGUGGACUUCUUCCCGUCGACGGCCGCCAGCCGGCUCCUGGACGGCGACGUGAAGAGCACGGUGGACAGGCGGCUCGACGGCCACGCCGACAUUGGCGAGGUGGAGCGGGCGUGCAAGGUGGCAUGCUGGUGCGUGCAGGACGAGGAGGGCGCGCGGCCGAGCAUGGGGACGGUGGUGCAGGCGCUCGAGGGGCUCGUCGAUGUCACCAUGCCGCCUGUCCCGAGAAUGCUCAAAGUGCUCGGGGAUCCAGCCAACUAUGUCAAGUUCUUUUCAGGGUUGCCGUCCACGUGA